RNAcentral lists this ribosomal RNA (497 nucleotides) under uncultured bacterium. RNAcentral describes it as "partial 16S ribosomal RNA". It matches the Rfam family "Bacterial small subunit ribosomal RNA", at positions 28 to 507 of the family's 1533-position model. The record is from RNAcentral.
GAUGAACGCUGGCGGCGUGCCUAAUACAUGCAAGUCGAGCGAACAGACGAGGAGCUUGCUCCUCUGACGUUAGCGGCGGACGGGUGAGUAACACGUGGAUAACCUACCUAUAAGACUGGGAUAACUUCGGGAAACCGGAGCUAAUACCGGAUAAUAUAUUGAACCGCAUGGUUCACUAGUGAAAGACGGUUUUGCUGGCACUUAUAGAUGGAUCCGCGCCGCAUUAGCUAGUUGGUAAGGUAACGGCUUACCAAGGCAACGAUGCGUAGCCGACCUGAGAGGGUGAUCGGCCACACUGGAACUGAGACACGGUCCAGACUCCUACGGGAGGCAGCAGUAGGGAAUCUUCCGCAAUGGGCGAAAGCCUGACGGAGCAACGCCGCGUGAGUGAUGAAGGUCUUCGGAUCGUAAAACUCUGUUAUUAGGGAAGAACAAAUGUGUAAGUAACUAUGCACGUCUUGACGGUACCUAAUCAGAAAGCCACGGCUAACUACGUG